This 60-nucleotide transfer RNA is filed under the name Aleyrodes shizuokensis. Its description in RNAcentral is "tRNA-Ser". Lineage: Eukaryota; Metazoa; Arthropoda; Insecta; Hemiptera; Aleyrodidae. The record is from RNAcentral.
UAAAUUAGUAAUUUAAUAUUUUGAAAAUAUUAUUAAGAAUUUUUAAUAAUUCUCUAAUUU